UACGAAGGGGGCUAGCGUUGUUCGGAAUCACUGGGCGUAAAGCGCACGCAGGCGGAUCGUUAAGUCAGGGGUGAAAUCCCGAGGCUCAACCUCGGAACUGCCUUUGAUACUGGCGAUCUUUGAGUCCGGGAGAGGUGAGUGGAACUCCGAGUGUAGAGGUGAAAUUCGUAGAUAUUCGGAAGAACACCAGUGGCAGAAGGCGGCUCACUGGCCCGGUACGUGACGCUCAGGUGCGAAAGCGUGGGGAGCAAAC
This 253-nucleotide ribosomal RNA is filed under the name uncultured bacterium. RNAcentral's name for it is "partial 16S ribosomal RNA". It matches the Rfam family "Bacterial small subunit ribosomal RNA", at positions 524 to 773 of the family's 1533-position model. The record is from RNAcentral.